GUGGCCCCAGGACGGGCGAGNNCACCCGCUGAGUUUAAGCAUAUCAAUAAGCGGAGGAGAAG
This 62-nucleotide ribosomal RNA is filed under the name Maxillaria humilis. Its description in RNAcentral is "partial 26S ribosomal RNA". The record is from RNAcentral. Lineage: Eukaryota; Viridiplantae; Streptophyta; Magnoliopsida; Asparagales; Orchidaceae.